GGAUUUUCACAUUGAGAAAGGGAAAAGCAGCCCUGGAUAUCUGGGAACUGGACUGGUACUAUUAUUUAUCCUGUGGUAUUGCCAGGAGUAUUCACAGCUGGGCAGUGGUAUGCUCUUAUUGAACAUAAACAGAAUAUGGGCAUCAGAUACCACACUGUAAUCAUGAUGGAUCAAGAGAAAAUGUGAGCAGUGUGUUAUUAUAUUGAAUGCAGACAAAAACCUUGAAAAUCGUUCAAACCACAUAAAUGGCAUUUUCCUCUCCUAGUUGGAACAUGAAUAACUGCUGUUUUUUUUUUUUUUUUUAACCCAUCAGAGCUUUGGCAUCACUCUCCUAUCACCUUCUGGAUAAGAUUUAUUAAGAUACCAGUUGUGCGGUUGUCCCCACUUUCUCGUAGCAUCCAAUGCCGAGCAAAGCCCUGCUUCCUUGAAUCCUCUCCAGAAAUACCUCACAUAAGUCCAACUCCUAAGUCUUUUUUAAUAUCUGAUUAUUGUGAUAGCUCAUAGUUCCCUAUAAUGUGUAUUUUAGUUCUUUUAAUUAAUCAGUAAGCCAAACUUGUUAAGCCACAGUUGUUUUCCUUAGGGUCUUUGCCUGUAAGGCAUUGACAGAAAUUGAAGUUUGCCAAGAUUCAGCUAAAACCAGGUGAGACCUUUUUGCCUCAGAGCAGGAUCCUUGAGUCAGUGAGAAUGUGCGUAUCUGAGACCUUUUGUGUGUCUACCUGUUUAGGUGCCAACUUGCCCAUGGCUGAGUGGAAAGUUAAUGUACAAUGAGCCCCAAUAUUCAAUGAAGCUUCUUUGUGUUUGGUUUAUUUUUCCUAAUUUUAAGGUGCUCUGGUACUUUUUCUUGAUCUGAUCAGAUUUGUAUUGUUCCUCAUUGAAUUUUUCUGGCCUAACACCAGCUUCUAUGGUCCCUCUGCUUGUCUAGUGUUUGUGUGUUUAUAAGAAGAAGUUUCUUUAGGAAAUAGACUUGUAUAGGCCUGAGAAGGAAAAUGAACUGAGGUUCAGAGACCUGUGGGACAACAUCAAGUGAAUCUACACAUGUGUAGUGGGAAUGAAAAGGAGAGAGAAAGAGGAAAAAACUAUUUGAAGACAUAAUGGCUGAGAACUUCCAAAAUGUAAUUAAAAAAAACAUUAACCUACACACUCAAAAAGCUCAACAAACUACAAGUAGGAUAAAUACAAAGAAUACAUACCUAGACACAUUGUAGUCAAACUGUUGAAAGCCAAAACUGGAAACUCUUGAAAGCAGCAGGAAAAAAAUAACUCAUCACAUACAAGAGAGCAGCAAUGCCUUAGUGGCUGACUUCUCAUCAGAAACUAUGGAAUCCAAAAGGCAAUGGAAUGACAUAUUUUAAGUGCUGAAAGAAACAAAAGUCUUGCCAACCAAUAACUUUAUACCCAGCAAAACUAUCAUUCAAAUCAUGCAGGCAAAAUAAAGAAAUUCUCAAAUAAACAAGGACUGAAAUCAUUGCUACCAGACUUACCUGAUAAGAAAUUCAAAAGAAAUUCUUUCAGGCUGAAAGCAAAUGAUAUCAGACAGUACUCAAAGUCAAAAGAAGAAAUGAAGAGCAUCAGAAAUGGUUAACAUGUGGACAGAUGCAUGGAUAGACAGAUAUAUUUCUCCAAGAUUUAAUAGACUGGAAUCAGACCUCAUACCAGAUUUAUCAAUAUUGCAAAAACAAACGAUUAAUUCUGUGAGAAAACAGUUGGAUAGGCUGUAUAUUUACCGCUCCUAACACGCCCGGUUAUGUCAAACCUUGGAGUCAGGCAUCCACAGGUGCGAUUUCUAAAACAGCCACCAAAGCAGUUGCUGCCUGGUCUAAGACCUGGAGAUAUGGUCCUCUGAAAAAGGCAUCAGAGAAAAACUGCCCUUGACUCUCAAGGAGAAAAGACUCUAUCAAGUAUUGUCAAUGAUUAACACAGUCAAACUCCAAGGUGUUGGUCUUUAGGCUUAUGUUGCUUGACUUAAAAGACGGACAUUUGCAUUGCAGUAGAUAAGGAGCUCUUGCACACAGAAAGCCUUUGGGAUGAAAAGAGAGCAUUUCCGACUACAAGAAAUACAUGAGGCGAGGAUAUCUGGGGGCCGGAUAAACAAAGAUCUCCUUUAAAUAACUUGCAAAGACAGUCCUGUCCUCAGCAGCCUGGGGCUCCCAGAUGUCAGAUUACAUAUCUGGUGUAAUUGAAAAUCCACCUGGAGGCAAGCAGUUGUUUACUUGGCAUUCUGGACAGCUUUACCACCAGCCCAAUGCAGAUGCUACCUCAGAAGAGCCCCCUAAAGCAAACAAAGGGUUUUUAUUUUCCCCAUCACUUUGAAAAACAACAUCUUUAUAAUUCCAAAAUGCAAUGGGUCGGAACAUUUUAAUUCCAAUUAACUUGUAGUUUUCUUUUUUUCUAAAAUAAAUUUGAAGAACAAUGGCUAAUGAGCUGCUGUACAAUAUUUGUCCUUGGCAGAGAAUGACACUCAUGGAACACUUAA
This is a long non-coding RNA of Equus caballus (horse), 2473 nucleotides long. Lineage: Eukaryota; Metazoa; Chordata; Mammalia; Perissodactyla; Equidae. The record is from Ensembl.